This is a long non-coding RNA of Cynoglossus semilaevis (tongue sole), 747 nucleotides long. RefSeq lists it as uncharacterized. Lineage: Eukaryota; Metazoa; Chordata; Actinopteri; Pleuronectiformes; Cynoglossidae. The transcript is spliced from 3 exons. The record is from RefSeq and is a predicted model, not a curated record.
CUUGGCUGAGAACCUUACCUGGCCAGACAGUUCUCCUCGGCUGCACAGCGGAGAGCAUACAUCUGCAUGCGCUGGACAUAAGCACCUGCUUGGAUGGCAUACGGGUCUGGAACAAGGUCUGGGAGUCCUGCAGUCAAGGUAUCCCGACAGUGAGCCUGCACAUGUGCUGCUCUAUUCUUAGCUGCAGAUCUUGCCCCUGCAUGGUCGAGCGUCCAGCUCCGCCUCGCUCCCUGUGUCCCAGCAGAUUUAUAAGAAGCACAGAUCCUCGGCACUGGUUUGGCACAAGACGUACGCAGCAGGACAUGUAGCCCCCAAAAUUUAGCAAGUAUCCAGGCUUUGCUUCUUGUGAGAUUUAAGGAAGAUGAUGGUCUUAAAAUGGUUUGAGCACAAGAAUUCUUCCCAAACAUGGAAUAUACCUGUUGUCUUCCCCUGAGGCAUCACACUACCAGUCUGAGGAGUAAAAUGAUAGAUCCAGAGGGUUUACCACAGGUCAUGGGAAGACAAUACAGGUGAGAUGCUGAAAGAAAUGCCUGACGAUGAUUAAACAUCUUUGACAUGUGACUUUGUGGCGAUAUAUCUGGUGUAUAUAUUUGGUUGGGUUCCUGAAGAAAAAUAAAUCUCAGCGUAAACUGCGUUACAGCUAAACUGUAUCUGACGAUAAAAGUAGUGACAUUUAAAAGCCGGGGGUCUGCAGAUCAGUGGGUUUCUUCUAACAGUGUCAGUGUCUGACUGUCAGCUCUGCUCAUA